This 2104-nucleotide long non-coding RNA is filed under the name Homo sapiens (human). RNAcentral describes it as "HSALNT0390028". The record is from RNAcentral. Lineage: Eukaryota; Metazoa; Chordata; Mammalia; Primates; Hominidae.
GACGUCAGGGCCCUCGGGCCCCGCCCCCCAGCAGGCCGAGGACCAAUCCGCAGAGGGUGCAGGGUCUGAGGGGAGGGGCAGAGCCCGGGCCCCACGGAGGGCGGAGGGGGUACCCGGGAGAAGCAGAGAUUGGAAGGAGGAGCAGGGGGCCUGCCCUCCACCCCCACACUCUGGGCCCGAGACUCCUCGCUCCUCCUCGCCUCGCCUCGCCUCGAGUCUCUGGCUCCGACCUCUCUACUCCCUUGUUUCUGACCUGUGCUCCGUGGUGUCUCUGAUCUCCCCCUGCCGCCAGGGGAAAGGAGGUCUUCACCUCCGGGACCCCCACCCCCCACCCCCGUCCCCUCCCUGCCCCCUAUCCGUUCAGCCUCGGCUUUCUCGGCGAGAAAGCGCAGAUGGCUCCCGGCUGCUAACCCAGGAGGCUAAGGAGCAGCCCUAGAGACUGCGCAUCUGCAUGUCUGUGCCUGGGCUGGACCCGCCUGCACCAGCCAGGCCGAGCCAACCUCUCCUGGGGUGGAGGAUGGGAAUCCAGACGAAGCCUAAGGGCUCAGCGCCUGGAACCACUUGGGACAGAGAGUGGGGAGCAGACUGGCAACGAAGGGCCUUGGGCUCUGCGGAGGUUCCCAGCAGCAGAGCAGGCGCCUACAAUGGUGCCAAGGCAACCGGAGGGGGUGGCGGCCCACCCCCUCGCACCACCCCAGAGCCAGCUGGCCUAAGGAACAUCCCUCCCAGGACUCACUCACACCUAUUCUCCAACUCUGCCUACCUGCUCAAUUCACCUGAUGCUCUGCCAGUGGAUUGCUGAUGUCUCUACAUUGAUUCAGAUUUGCACCCACAUCUGAAAAUGGUCAGCAGGCAGGGACCCUCUGUCACCACAGGUGGAGGAAGAGGAGAUGAAAGAGCCUUGUCUGACACCCUGGAGACUGCAAGAAGGCCCUUGCCAGAUGUGGGCCCCUCCAUCUUGGACUUCCCAGCUAGCCUCCAGAACUGGAAACUACCCAGACUGUGUCCUCUCCCUCUUACUCUCCUAAAGGAAGACAAGGAAGACAAUGACAAAUGGCGUUUGCAGCAAAGCAACACCAACAGCCAACUUGAUGCUCAAGAGAGAACGCUAUGCCUCUUCCUCAUGGUUUCCAGUGCUCUACACAUUCUGAGAAACUUUUCUGGUUCUACUUCUGGAGGGAACCCAAACCAACACAUUUGAUAUCCAAAGUUGUCCUAGGAAGUAGACCCCCAGGAUAAGAUUCUGGUUUUGGAUCACUCAUCAUCCAGAUGGCCCAAAGAUUCCAUUGCUGAGUAGAGACGGGUUUUCACCAUGUUGACCAGUCUGGUCUCAAACUCAUGACCUCAAGUGAUCCAUCUGCCUUGGCCUCCCAAAGUGCUGAGAUUACAGGAGUGAGCCAUCACGCCUGGCCUGGGAUUUAACAUUUUAAAGCUUGGCAAGGACACCAGAAGCCUGUUGCAAUAUGCCCCCGGGAUAGAUCUUCAAAGUGUGGAAAAACUAUGAGUUCCAGCAAAUGAGGUAGAGAUGUUGGAACUUCCUUGACAGAAUACUUGGAAGAAUAAAGGCUCAGAAAAGUGGGCAUGCCAGAAUAAAAUGACUAUUAUAUAAGACUAUAGAACCCUCCAGCCUACUGUGUUCUUCAUGAGGGCCCAGAAAUACUCAAUAAAUAAAGUGAUACAAAAGGUGCUAGUUGGAACAGGGCCACUGGCAUUUGCAGGUCAGUGGUAGCUGUCCUCAGCAGGCCAGAGCAAUGGUAGCGGGAGCUGCUAUGGGACUAGCCUUUCUAGAGUCAGUGGGUAUAACAGGAGUCCAGAACGAGGUCAGGCGACAGCACGUGGUCAUGAGAGGCUAAGUGGACAUAAUUACCGUAAUAGGCAGAAAGACCAGAAAUGUAAGCAGGGAUCUAUUGUGAUGACCAAGAGACCAUGGUGUUCCCAGAUAGGAGGAUGGUGAAGGAGGGUAUCUCUUGCUUAUAAAAACAAGCAAGAAUGAGACAGCAGAAGGCUGAAGUUAGCCACUGCAAAGGAAAAUCCCCAUCCCAUACCCAGUUUCCAGGCCCAAACCAGUUUUCAGAUAUAGAGCCCUUUGUCUUUUUUUUUUUUU